CCUACGGGAGGCAGCAGUGGGGAAUCUCGCGCAAUGGGCGAAAGCCUGACGCAGCCAUGCCGCGUGAAUGAUGAAGGUCUUAGGAUUGUAAAAUUCUUUCACCGGGGACGAUAAUGACGGUACCCGGAGAAGAAGCCCCGGCUAACUUCGUGCCAGCAGCCGCGGUAAUACGAAGGGGGCUAGCGUUGCUCGGAAUUACUGGGCGUAAAGGGAGCGUAGGCGGACAUUUAAGUCAGGGGUGAAAUCCCGGGGCUCAACCUCGGAAUUGCCUUUGAUACUGGGUGUCUUGAGUAUGAGAGAGGUGUGUGGAACUCCGAGUGUAGAGGUGAAAUUCGUAGAUAUUCGGAAGAACACCAGUGGCGAAGGCGACACACUGGCUCAUUACUGACGCUGAGGCUCGAAAGCGUGGGGAGCAAACAGGAUUAGAUACCCUGGUAGUCCACGCCGUAAACGAUGAUUGCUAGUUGUCGGGAUGCAUGCAUUUCGGUGACGCAGCUAACGCAUUAAGCAAUCCGCCUGGGGAGUACGGUCGCAAGAUUAAAACUUAAAGAGUAAGUACGCGNGAGAGAGCGACGACGACGACGACGGAGGAGAG
This 595-nucleotide ribosomal RNA is filed under the name uncultured bacterium. Its description in RNAcentral is "bacterial SSU rRNA". It matches the Rfam family "Bacterial small subunit ribosomal RNA", at positions 338 to 1415 of the family's 1533-position model. The record is from RNAcentral.